This 72-nucleotide transfer RNA is filed under the name Gongylonema pulchrum. It matches the Rfam family "tRNA". From Rfam's summary of the family: Transfer RNA (tRNA) molecules are approximately 80 nucleotides in length. Their secondary structure includes four short double-helical elements and three loops (D, anti-codon, and T loops). Lineage: Eukaryota; Metazoa; Nematoda; Chromadorea; Rhabditida; Gongylonematidae. The record is from Rfam by way of RNAcentral.
AGAUCGGUGGUGUAGUGGGUAGCACAUCCCAUCCGAACGUGAAGGGGAGAGGUUCAAUCCCCUCCUGAUCCA